Molecule: ribosomal RNA, 1319 nt
Filed under: uncultured bacterium
Lineage: Bacteria
Description: bacterial SSU rRNA
Rfam family: Bacterial small subunit ribosomal RNA
Source: RNAcentral
GCGGCGUGCUUAACACAUGCAAGUCGAACGAUUAAACCGCCCUCGGGCGGACAUAGAGUGGCGAACGGGUGAGUAACACGUGACCAACCUGCCCCGCGCUCCGGGACAACCGCUGGAAACGGCGGCUAAUACCGGAUACUCCGGGAGGGCCCCAUGGCCCUGCCGGGAAAGCCGAGACGGCGCGGGAUGGGGUCGCGGCCCAUUAGGUAGACGGCGGGGUAACGGCCCACCGUGCCCGCGAUGGGUAGCCGGACUGAGAGGUCGACCGGCCACAUUGGGACUGAGAUACGGCCCAGACUCCUACGGGAGGCAGCAGUGGGGAAUUUUGCGCAAUGGGGGAAACCCUGACGCAGCAACGCCGCGUGCGGGACGAAGGCCCUCGGGUUGUAAACCGCUUUCAGCAGGGAAGAUCCAAGACGGUACCUGCAGAAGAAGCUCCGGCUAACUACGUGCCAGCAGCCGCGGUAAUACGUAGGGGGCGAGCGUUAUCCGGAUUCAUUGGGCGUAAAGCGCGCGUAGGCGGCCGCCUAAGCGGGACCUCUAACCCCGGGGCUCAACCCCGGGCCGGGUCCCGGACUGGGCGGCUCGAGUGCGGUAGAGGAGAGCGGAAUUCCCGGUGUAGCGGUGGAAUGCGCAGAUAUCGGGAAGAACACCGAUGGCGAAGGCAGCUCUCUGGGCCGUCACUGACGCUGAGGCGCGAAAGCUGGGGGAGCGAACAGGAUUAGAUACCCUGGUAGUCCCAGCCGUAAACGAUGGGCGCUAGGUGUGGGGGGACGAUCCCUCCGUGCCGCAGCCAACGCAUUAAGCGCCCCGCCUGGGGAGUACGGCCGCAAGGCUAAAACUCAAAGGAAUUGACGGGGGCCCGCACAAGCAGCGGAGCAUGUGGCUUAAUUCGAAGCAACGCGAAGAACCUUACCAGGGCUUGACAUGCCGAUGAAGCCGGGGAGACCCGGUGGCCGAGAGGAGUCGGCGCAGGUGGUGCAUGGCUGUCGUCAGCUCGUGUCGUGAGAUGUUGGGUUAAGUCCCGCAACGAGCGCAACCCCCGCCCCGUGUUGCCAGCAUUCAGUUGGGGACUCGCGGGGGACUGCCGGCGUCAAGCCGGAGGAAGGUGGGGACGACGUCAAGUCAUCAUGCCCCUUAUGCCCUGGGCUGCACACGUGCUACAAUGGCCGGUACAGAGGGUUGCCACCCCGCGAGGGGGAGCGGAUCCCGGAAAGCCGGUCCCAGUUCGGAUCGCAGGCUGCAACCCGCCUGCGUGAAGCCGGAGUUGCUAGUAAUCGCGGAUCAGCACGCCGCGGUGAAUACGUUCCCGGGCCUUG